GCGAUUUGAGCGAUUUGAGCGAUUUUCAGAGACUCCCAGCGACACAGCAGCAGAUAAAGAAGACGACGUAGAAAAGUCUUUUUAAAGACUAAAACAUCCAUCAAGAGCAGAAGAACAAGAAGAAGAAGAAGAAGAACCUGCCGGCCCCUUGUGGGUCAUCUGGGGCAGCAGAGAUGGGCAUGAGUGCCAGUAGCAGGCAGUACUAUGAGUACCGCUAUGGAAAGAUCUCAUUUUGGAUCCCCCCUCAUCUGGAUGUCUUUGAGAUCAGGGAUUUUGAGGAUCCACGCGCAGGCCCCUAUUUGGAGGGCAUUAGGGGCCAGAUAACAGGUGACAUCAAGAUGGCCCUUUAU
Xenopus tropicalis (tropical clawed frog) is the source of this 350-nucleotide long non-coding RNA. RefSeq lists it as uncharacterized. The record is from RefSeq and is a predicted model, not a curated record. Lineage: Eukaryota; Metazoa; Chordata; Amphibia; Anura; Pipidae. The transcript is spliced from 3 exons.